CCUAGGUGAGUGACUUCUUCCUCCUCCGUUGCUGUUCUCUCCACAGUUUGAGAUGAUUACUGUUGGAUUAUUUCUCAGUCUGUAUUUUGCCUCAUGCUUGGACUUCACUCUAGGUCAGCCCAACUCUUCACCCACAGUCACCAUGUUCCCACCUUCCUCUGACGAUCUCAGGAGAAACAAAGCCUCAGUGGUGUGUUUAAUAGUUGGCUUCUUCCCAGAAAAUCUGUCAGUGUCCUGGAAGACAGAUGACAUUCCUAUUACCGAGGGUGUGGAGACUAGCCAGCCUUCCCAACAGAGCAACAACAAAUACAUGGCUACCAGCAUCCUGUCCAUAACAAAAGAAUUGUGGGAAUCUAAAAAGAGUUUCGGCUGCCUCGUCAUUCAUGAAGGGGGCACUGUGGAGAAGAGCCUGUUCCCUGCUGAGUAUUCCUAGGUCUUCUGACCUUCAUCUUACCCACCGAGCAUGAGAUCAGAAUCAUACCCAAGAAUACCCUUACUGCUCUUGACUAUCACAGCCCUUUUCCCUGCUCUCAAAAUGCACAAUAAAAUAUCUAUUAUCAGCCUGUAA
Meriones unguiculatus (Mongolian gerbil) is the source of this 568-nucleotide non-coding RNA. The record is from the annotation of a RefSeq genome assembly. NCBI's taxonomy places the organism in Eukaryota, Metazoa, Chordata, Mammalia, Rodentia, Muridae.